UUUUAAAUUUGUCCGGUUUUGUAAUUACACCAAAUAUUCGUUCGCCAAAGGGGUUAAAUUUGCGAAUUUGUUAAAGGAUUUCUUAAUUGGCCGCGUUAUUCGUAACCGAAAUAACCGUUAAAUAAAUAAUACGAGAUUGGGAAAUGUAAUAAUUAGUAAUUUUUUUUAUUAUUUUAACGUUAUUAUUUGAAACACCUUUGGUAAAAAUUUAAAUCAGGCCUGGAAUAUUAACCAGGGUUAGCUGAGGACGGUUCGGGCCAUUAAUAUUAAUAUUAAGCGUAUUUUUGGUAAAGGCGCUGGUAAAUAAUGCGUUAUCAGAUUUUGAAAUCCCCAGUACUGUUAUAACCGCAUUAAUAACAAUGGGCAAAUUAGCAAAAAUAAUAAUAAAUUGGGAAAAGGCUUUAAUAUUUUAUUUUUUAUAUUUAGGGCGAUUGUUGUCUGGAACAAUUUUAACAGUGAUUUUGUCAACGGUCUCGCGGCGGAAACUAAUUUUAAUGGCAAACCUGGUGCAAAGGUUAUCGUUUUUGGGGAAAGGAAUCUUAAUUAGGGUUUCCAGCACGGAAUUUUUCCCAGCAAAUUAAUUUCCACAAACGACGAUUUAAAAUAGGGAUAAAAUAUUAUCGAAACCAUAUUUUGGUAUAUAAUUAAUGGUGUCGAGAAGAAUUCGCUGUUCCGUUGUUUGGAACUUUUCCAAAAUGGAUUUAUAAAAUAAUUUGUUAAAAGAAAAGAAAUUAUCGGGAACGCCCAUAUUGGCUAACAGGAAAUUGUAAAUUUGAAAAACGAAUUUGAGGGAAAUAGGGGACGGGAUAAUAAUAUUUGAGAAAAAAAUCAAAGGAUUAACAGCGAAAAUAUAACCUCUAUUUAAACUUUUAAAUUAUUGUCGAAAGCCAAAAUCGUGUUGUAAAAUAAAAACAUAACAUUUUUUAACCGUUAAAUUUUUCGUUUUUUAUCGUUGGAAUAAAAACAAGGAUCUUUAAGACCCUCUUCCUUUAAUAUUAUUAAAUGGCAUUUAUUUUUAAAUUGCCGGACCUAUAAUUAACCGCUAUACCACGUUAUAAAACAGGGCGGCCAAUUACAUUAGCUGGCCUAUCGGAAAUUUUCAAUUUAAAAAGUAAUUUUCCCAGUAAAAUUACCAUUUCUCAAUUAUACGGGAGGCCCUCCUUUUUUGCGCCUCCGUUUCCGCCAGGUUAAACAUAUUUCCUCGUUUAAUACCAACAAAAUCUGGCAAAAAAAAAAUAAAUUUCCAUUUUUUUUAAAACCAGUAGAAAAACGUAAAUUAUAUAUAUAUUUGGUUAAUUAGUUUAAAUUGCUUUUUUAAAACGUUAGGCUAAUUAAAAAAGCCGUUAUAUUAUUUAAUAUUGGAAAUUAUGGAAGUUUUUUAACCCAACAUAUGGAAAACCUGUUGCAUAGUCGGCCGCAUAUUAGGUAAAGAAACGAUUUCCAUUGCCAGGUAUUUUGAAGGCUUUUAAUUAAUUGUCCAUAUCCGACAAAAUGCAAUGUGGAAGGCCCACCAUCCUUUUAUUAACUAAAUUAACAGUUCUGGAAACGGGCGAUCCAGCUACAAAUUAAUAUAUAUAAGAGGCCCUCCACCGUUUAUUAAUGGGGUUAAAAUUAAAGUAUUUGCCAGAGUAUUUGUAAAAUACAAAUCUCGAUUUUUGGGGAUAUGUUUGUCAGAUUUGGAAUUUUUAAUUUGUAUUAUUGGAAUCGGCCGUAUUGGGUUUGCUCACGCCCUAAAUAACGCAUUAUUAGUGAAGUUGAAAAUUAUUAAUUUUUUAAUUAAAAAUGCCACUAUUAUAUAGGAGGCCCUCCAUAUGCAGCGCCUAGGAAAAAUGCUCUGUUACGGGCCAUUAACUAAGAUGCCUGUUUAUUAGAAAUGUCGGAAACCCUCGGUUAUAUACCCAGAUAUUGUUAAUUUUAUAUAAAAGGCCUGCUAUUCUCCUGCCAUUAUAUUAUAUAAAUAAUGGUUUUGGUGGUUAUUAUUUAUACGAUUACGAAAAAACAUUUGGGAUGCAGGAGGUAUCGAUUAAUACGUUGUAUUAUCCCCUAUCGCUUCGCAAAAAAUACCCAAUUAUAAAUUAUUAGUUUUAAAAAUGGAGGGCCUUUUGCAUAAAAGGGAUUCCUAUUUUAACUGGCUGGUUAGUAAUUUAACACAUUAUAUAUUAAAUUAUAUAUGGGUAUAAUAUAUAGGUUUUGUAGCAAAUACGGAAAUAUAUGGGCGCAGUUAUAAUAACCGUUUCCAUGUUAUUACCACAUUACCGCCUGUUCGCGAGCAUCGAUUUGCGCUUUUCCCGCAUAAAAAAAAUACGUUUAGCAACUUUCUCAAACCUAUAAGUUAUAUAUCGUAUAUUUCUAUCGUUUCGCGCGAAUAAAUUGUAAUAUUUGGACCUUAAAAUCACCAGACCCUAACCUUAACCCCUGACCAACGACCCACCAGGGUAAUACCUAACGUAUAUUAACGUAUACGUACAGUUAAAUUUAGUGGGUAGGAGAGCCAUAUAUUGGUAUAGGCCGUGCUAUUUGUGCUAAAACGCGUGUUGGAGCUUUUAUCGUGUUUUUAACGCUAAUUUAA
RNAcentral lists this small RNA (2569 nucleotides) under Pyricularia oryzae. Its description in RNAcentral is "Magnaporthe oryzae sRNA M_BR32_EuGene_00135691". Lineage: Eukaryota; Fungi; Ascomycota; Sordariomycetes; Magnaporthales; Pyriculariaceae. The record is from RNAcentral.